UACGAAGGGGGCUAGCGUUGUUCGGAAUUACUGGGUGUAAAGCGCGUGUAGGCGGCAGGCCAAGUCGGUGGUGAAAGCGCCCGGCUCAACUGGGCGAGGUCCAUGGAAACUGGUCAGCUGGAGGACGGUAGAGGCGAGUGGAAUUCCCGGUGUAGCGGUGAAAUGCGCAGAUAUCGGGAGGAACACCAAUGGCGUAGGCAGCUCGCUGGGACGUGACUGACGCUGAGACGCGAAAGCGUGGGGAGCAAACAGG
This 253-nucleotide ribosomal RNA is filed under the name uncultured bacterium. RNAcentral's name for it is "partial 16S ribosomal RNA". It matches the Rfam family "Bacterial small subunit ribosomal RNA", at positions 524 to 776 of the family's 1533-position model. The record is from RNAcentral.